RNAcentral lists this long non-coding RNA (202 nucleotides) under Ictidomys tridecemlineatus (thirteen-lined ground squirrel). RNAcentral describes it as "lncRNA (ENSSTOG00000034376.1)". Lineage: Eukaryota; Metazoa; Chordata; Mammalia; Rodentia; Sciuridae. The record is from RNAcentral.
ACAGCCAGCAGCUAUUGUGUGUUGUGGGAGCAAAAGCGCUCUGGUGGCUGGGGUCUCUGACAAGCAGGAGUCAAGCUGGAGCUUUGUUAUGAAAAUCAAGAGCUGGAGGGACACCUCCCCUGUGUGCAGGCCCAGGGCAAGAUGACAGGGGCCUCACGUGAGCUUCAGAAGACAAAUCUGAAAAUAUGGCCCAGUGCCAAAG